Molecule: ribosomal RNA, 253 nt
Filed under: uncultured bacterium
Lineage: Bacteria
Description: partial 16S ribosomal RNA
Rfam family: Bacterial small subunit ribosomal RNA
Source: RNAcentral
UACGUAGGUGGCAAGCGUUGUCCGGAAUUAUUGGGCGUAAAGGGCGUGUAGGUGGAUUCUUAAGUCGUGUGUCUAAGUGCGGAGCUCAACUCCGUAUAGGCGCAGGAAACUGGGAAUCUUGAGUGCAGGAGAGGAAAGUGGAAUUCCCAGUGUAGCGGUGAAAUGCGUAGAUAUUGGGAGGAACACCAGUGGCGAAGGUGACUUUCUGGACUGUGUCUGACUCUGAGGCGCGAAAGCUAGGGGAGCGAACGGG